Molecule: ribosomal RNA, 460 nt
Filed under: uncultured bacterium
Lineage: Bacteria
Description: partial 16S ribosomal RNA
Rfam family: Bacterial small subunit ribosomal RNA
Source: RNAcentral
CCUACGGGAGGCAGCAGUGAGGAAUAUUGGUCAAUGGACGAGAGUCUGAACCAGCCAAGUAGCGUGAAGGAUGACUGCCCUAUGGGUUGUAAACUUCUUUUAUAAAGGAAUAAAACGAGGCACGUGUGCCUUUUUGCAUGUACUUUAUGAAUAAGGAUCGGCUAACUCCGUGCCAGCAGCCGCGGUAAUACGGAGGAUCCGAGCGUUAUACGGAUUUAUUGGGUUUAAAGGGAGAGUAGAUGGUUUGUUAAGUCAGGUGUGAAAGUUUGCGGUUCAACCGUAAAAUUGCAAUUGAUACUGGCAGUCCUGAGUACAGUUGAGGUAGGCGGAAUUCGUGGUGUAACGGUUAAAGGCGUAGAUAUCACGAAGAACCCCGAUUGCGAAGGCAGCUUACUAAACUGUGACUGACAUUGAUGCUCGAAAGUGUGGGUAUCAAACAGGAUUAGAUACCCUAGUAGUC